This is a long non-coding RNA of Mastomys coucha (southern multimammate mouse), 624 nucleotides long. RefSeq lists it as uncharacterized. The record is from RefSeq and is a predicted model, not a curated record. Lineage: Eukaryota; Metazoa; Chordata; Mammalia; Rodentia; Muridae. The transcript is spliced from 3 exons.
UAUCAUUUAAAAAAAAAACUAUCUUAAUGUGGUACCCUAUCUUUCUCCAAAAUAGAAUACUUUAUUAAAGAGAAAAAAGGUAAAAGGUAAAGAAGAGAGAAGGAUUGCUGUCCCAUAAUCAGUCAAGUUUCACACGCACAUAUCUCAAAUGCAAGGAUUAACAGAAGGACAAUGGCGGGAGAGUCUCAUCCUCACGAUGUUUGCAUCCUAUUGAAAUGAGGGUCCAAAUGCUACCAGCCUCCACAGCAGGCAUGCGGCUCAAGCAGCAGAGAUGCUUUGUGUCAGAAAAGAACCUGGUGCUGUGGAUAGCAGGAAACCUCUGCACUGAUGCAGUGAAUCCACUGAGCUGUUCCUGGAAAAACAAAGGAAGAGCAAGGACACACCCUCCUCCCAUCUGAUUUUGAAAGCCACGUAGUGAUGUUUGUUUCCUAAACAAGAAUCGAAUGUUUGUCACUUGCACUACUUAAUUAUGACCAGAGAGAUUUGCUACCAUUACACAUUCUGUCCAUGGUGCUUAUUUAAUUUUGGUAUUAAAGAGACAGGACUAUCCAGUCACCAAGUAACAAGUGUUAAACCUCAAUAAAUAGCAUUUUAGUAAUCAGUUUCUGAAAUGCACAGAUCACC